This is a long non-coding RNA of Eriocheir sinensis (Chinese mitten crab), 7496 nucleotides long. RefSeq lists it as uncharacterized. The transcript has 3 exons. NCBI's taxonomy places the organism in Eukaryota, Metazoa, Arthropoda, Malacostraca, Decapoda, Varunidae. The record is from RefSeq and is a predicted model, not a curated record.
GGGGGGGAAGUGGGACGUUGUUGAGGGAUAAAAGCUAAAUAGAAGUAGAAAUCAGACCCCUUUGAACGGCAUUUACAAUAGGCAUACGUUAGCUUUACGAACAGGGAGACUUGGAGAGGUGGCGGGUCAGGAUGUGAGAGACAGGAUGGGGAUGACACACUGGCUGAGAGGGAGGAUGUGAUACGUUCUGGAGGAGGUAAAAGCUAAAUAAAAAUAGAAAUCAGAACCCAUAUUAACUGAAUUUACAUAAAGUACACGUUAGGGGUGGGAUCAGGGAGACGAUAUAUAUAGAGAGGAUAGUAUGGCUUAGAAGAGUGGCAGACGAGGCCGUGACAGAUGGGGUAGUUUGGGAAGGAGAGGGGCAGUUUCUUUUUCAAUAUUUGGCAUAGGUGGGACGUACAUCUUAGGCAGAACAAUGAGGAAGAGGAGGAGAGAAGCGAAAGAAAAGGUAGAUGUGCGAUGAGAGACGUUUAGCAUUGACGAAUCGGAAAUAGGAGAGAAAAGUAAGUACUGGCUGUUUGAUGACGAGGCCUGAGAAAGAGAAAAUCCACGUAGAGUGUGUGUGUGUGUGUGGAGGAGGGAAGGGAGAAGGAGGGGGAGGCAGUGAAGAACAAAGAUGAAGAGGAGAAAAGCUGCAGAAGAGGUCAGUGAAAGAGGGAUAAUUGAGGUAGUGAGGUGAAGGGAGUCGGGGGUAAAGAGGAGUACAGUUUCUUCUUCAAUAUUUGGUAUAGUGGGAACAGACAUCGCAAGCAGAACAAAAUGAGGAGGAGGAAAGAAGCUGCAGAGGAGGCCAGUAAGUAUAUAGGAUGUGAAAGGCUCCUGGAAGUCGGGGAAAAGAGAGGGGCAGCUUUUUUUUCAAUAUUUGGCAUAGGUGGGACGGACAUCUUAGGCAGAACAAUAAUGAUGAAGAGAGAAGCAACAGAAGAGGUCAAUGAGGGGGGAUAAAUGGAUGUGAAAGGCUGCUGGAAGUCGGGGAAAGGAGAGAGGCAGCUUCUUUUUCAAUAUUUGGCAUAGGUGGGACGUACAUCUUAGACAGAACAAUGAGGAAGUGGAGGAGAGAAGCGAAAGAAAAGGCCAAUGAGGAGGGAUAAAGGAUAGGGGGAGGGAGUAGAGGAAAAGACCGGCUCCCUAUUCAAUACUUGCCAUAAGAGAGGUCACAGAAAAUUCAUCUAUUGUGUGUAUGUUUGUGUGUAUGGAGGGGGGUGAAGGGGAGGAGAACAAAGAUGAUGAUAAUUGAAGAGGUAGAAGUGGAUAUUGAGGGAUAAUGGAUGGGGUGGCGGGUGAAGGGAGUAGGGGCAAAAAAGACCGGAUCCCUAUUCAGUAUUUUGCAUAGGGGAGAAGGCGAGAGAAGAAAACAUUGAAACUGAUAAGAGGGAAGACCAGUUUGACACGACUCACAGCCACCACCACCACCACCACCCAGGCCGCCUCCGGGUCACACACACACACACACACACACACACACUCUCUCUCUCUCUCUCUCUCUCGUCUGAAGGAGUGGCCGGCGUUGUUAAUAUUGCAUGCAUCCCGCCUAAUCCCUCCCCUCUUCCCUCCUCCUCCUCCUCCUCCUUUCUUUCCUAAUUCUCAUGCCAUCGCUAUUGCAUCAAAGGUAUUAUUAUUUCUUUUCCUUGUAUGUGGAUGGCGUCACUUCACUAACAUCCUCUCUUGUAGUGUUCAAAUAGCCUAGCCUAGCACAACGAUGUUUGAUGCGACCUUGCCUCUUCCUGUGCCGCCGCGUGCAAUCCCUGGCUCGCUCACUCGCUCCUCCUCCUCCUCUUCUUCCUCUCUUCCUCCCUCCCUGCCUCAAGGUAAAUGUCAGUCCUUGUCUUCCUCCUCUUCCUUCCCAGCCACUUUCUCCUCACAGUGAUAGGCUGAUGGGGGCAACAAAGCUCCUUCUAAUGCCCCGUAGCUCAUCGUCUCCGGCUGGUCUUGUCGCUACUCAGCCUCUCAAACAUUUCGGGGCUAACACACACUCUCACAUUUGCUAAGGCUUUCGUAGGAAUCUGGGGCAUUUGCAGAGGUAGUUUUAUGGCCCUUCUGGUAGUUUCAUCACUCUUUUGUGCCACGGACCCACAAAAACACUCAUUGGAACGCGAUUGGUCUCCUUUUCGGCCUUUGGAAAGAGUUGCUGUGGGAGGCGAAACCGUCUGAGAGUGCCAACCUUAAGUUACACACACUCACACAUUCGAUAAGGCUUUCGUCGAGGUUGUGGUGUUAGUAUUUCCAUGGGUAGUUUUUUGACCCUAGCGAUAACUUGACAAGGCUUCUGCUGUACCAUGAACGUAAAAACACAAUCUCCCACUCUCCCACAUUUGAUAAGGCUUUCGUUGAGGUUGUGGUGUUUGUAUUUCCAUGAGUAGUUUUUUUUACCCUAGCGAUAACUUGACAAGGCUUCUGCUGUACCAUGAACGUAUAAAAAACACAUAAUCUCCCACUCUCCUACAUUAGAUAAGGCUUUCGUCGAGGUUAUGGUGUUUGUAGUCUAUUUCCAUGGGUAGUUUUUUUUACCCUAGUGAUAGCUUGACAAGGCUUCUGCUGCACCGUGAACGUAAAAACACAAUCUCCCACUCUCCCACAUUUGAUAAGGCUUUCGUCGAGGUUGUGGUGUCAGUAUUUCCAUGGGUAGUUUUUUUUACCCUCGUGAUAACUUGACAAGGCUUCUGCUGCAACAUGAACGUAUUAACACAAUCUCCCACAUUUGAUAAGGCUUUCGUCGAGGUUUUGGUGUUAGUAUUCACAUGGGGGGUAGUUUUCUGACCCCAGUGAUAGUUUGACAAGGCUUCUGCUGCAUCAUGAACGUAAAAACACAAUCUCCCACUCUCCCACAUUUGAUAAGGCUUUCGUUGAGAUCGUGGUGUUUGUAUUUCCAUGAGUAGUUUUUUUACCCUAGCGAUAACUUGACAAGGCUUCUGCUGUACCAUGAACGUAUAAAAAACACAUAAUCUCCCACUCUCCCACAUUAGAUAAGGCUUUCGUCGAGGUCGUGGUGUUUGUAUUUCCAUGAGUAGUUUUUUUUACCCUAGCGAUAACUUGACAAGGCUUCUGCUGUACCGUGAACGUAAAAAACACAUAUAUGGUCGGCUUUAUAAGACACUUUGGCUUCUCACAUCAGCUGUUUAUAAAGGUCAGAAAGGGGGUCAGUCGGGUUCUAAUGAGUGUUUCUUUAGGUUCAUGGUACAGAGGAAGGGUCAAAUUGCCACUAGGGUCAUACAACUACUCCUGUAAAUGCCCAAAACUCCUACGAAAGCCUUGUCAAAUAUGUGUUCUUGGGCCGCGAAAUGUCUUAUAAUACGGCCGAUAAUCUCCCACUUUUCCACAUUAGAUAAGGCUUUCGUUGAGGUUGUGGUGUUAGUAUUUACAUGGGGGUAGUUUUCUGACCCUAGUAAUAGUUUGACAAGGCUUCUGCUGCACCAUGAAUGUGACAAACACUCAUCAGAACCCGACUCAUCUCAUUUAUGGCCCUUGGAAAUAGGUGUGAGAGCCCAAAGCGUCUGAAAUAUGGGCCUUAGUGAAUGUUAAUGUAUCAUCGCCGUGUAAAAAGAAGAGCAAUAUCAGAGCACAGCAAGUAAUAGGCUGCGAUUAGGGGACGAAACGACGAAAAGAAGACAUUUAUCAUUUUCUCUUUCUUCCAUCUUUCUUUCUUCCGUCAGAGCAGCCUUGCCAAAUUACCGUACUCAUCGCAUUGCAUUUUCGUAGUGUCUGACCGAUAACUAUGGCCAAAAAAAAAAAAAAAACAUCGAUAAGUAACAGUUUUGACGCCAACUUUAUUUUUCUAUCGUUAUUUGUGAAGGUACGAGAGUUUGAGGCUUAAAAAUGAUAAAUACAAUGUGAUGUGUACGAUAAUCUGACAACGCUGCAUCAGAGAGCUCCGCAAAUACUAAGCUACGAGGAGGGGACGGAACGACGCAUAAAAUAAGCCAUAAAUCGUUUCUUCCACCAAAGUACGUCCCUCAAACGACUUAAUUGGUAUUCAUUUAGAUAUUUCAGUCUCCGGGUGGACGGUCAGCUAGCGGUAUAUUGCUUGGUCUUAAGUGGUGUUGAGUUGCCAAGAUGCGUCGCUGUUUGGUGAGCGUGACGGGCAUGCAAAUAUUAGCAGGGCCCUUCUUCCUCAUAACGGGCCUUUUCUUACAGUGAAACAAACAAUAAGAUACAUAACAACAAAAUGAUGAGGGAAUUUUGUCAUUGGUUUAGCUAUCAUGUUUACGAUUUUUACCGCGUUCAAGUUUGUUGUUGUGCCUUUUUUUACAGUGGAAGAAGCAGCUCAACGGCAAAAACAAAUGAAAGCUAGAAAGCCCGAUCGUCAACCCUAUUGUCAGUGGUACUAUUAUUUCUGUAUGUGGUAUUUCGACGAUAAAGAUGCUGAAUUGGAUUGGGUUAAACAUAUACGAUUGGACGCUAAUGAAUCUAACUGCAUGUGGAUUAUUUAUACGAACAUCCUAAAACGUCAUGCUUACUACAACAAUUUUCUGUGCCUAGACUGGAUGUGAAAUAGAUUUUUUUAAUGCUAUAUCACUCUAGCAUACUGGCGUUUUUAAUGUAAUAUUUUCUAUCGCAUUUCAUUUCUUGCGUUUCAUCCUCUGCGACCUCCCUCAUGAAGGAAAUGUUUACUACCUCAUCUGAAGCAUGGACUGCCCACCGCUGUUGUCAGAGUAUGAAUUAUGUAGCAGCUAUUAUUUCGACACUCCUUUUUGUUUAGUUUCAUCUUCUGCGACUUCUUUCAACAGCUUAGUCAUGCAAAGAAGAGAAGUGUUUAAUAGUCCGUCAGAUGCCCACCGCUGUUGUCCGAGGUUAUGAAUUAUGUAGCAAUUAAUAUUUCGUCACUAUUUCCUUUUUCUUUAGUUUCGUCCUCUGCGAUUUUUUUCAACAGCUUAGUCAUGCAAAGAAGAGAAAUGUUUAAUAGUCCGUCAGAUGCCCACCGCUGUUCCGGAGUUAUGAAUUAUGUAGCAAUUAAUAUUUCGUCACUAUUUCCUUUUUCUUUAGUUUCGUCCUCUGCGGCUUCUUUCAGCAGCUUAGUCAUGGAAAAGGUAAAAUGUUUAAUACUUCGUCUGAUGCCUGAACCGCCCAUCGCUGUUGUCCGAGGUUAUGAGGCACUUUACAGUUUCGUCAGUAUUUUUAUUUAUUUAUUUAUUUAUUUAUUUAUUUAUUUAUUUAUUUUUAGUUUCAUCUUCUGCGACUUCUUUCAGCAGCUUAGUCAUGGAGAAGGUGAAAUGUCAAGUCCGUCUGAUGCAUGAAAACUGCCCUUAAAAUUUCGUUACUAUUUAUAUAUCUUCCUUUUUCUUUCUGAGUUUCAUCCUCUGAGACUUCUUUCAGCAGCUUAGUCACGCAAAAAAGGAAAACGUUUUAGCCUGCCGCUGCUCCGAGGUUAUGAGGCACUUAAAAUUUAGUUACCACAUCAUUUUCUUUUCUUCUUUUCUGAGUUUCAUCCUUUGCAAAUUCAUUUAACAGCUAAGUCAUGAAAAGAGCGAAAUGUCGAACCCCGCCGCUGUUCCGAGGUUACUAAGUGACACUAAAAAUUUCGUUACAACUUUAUAUUCGAGUUUCAUCCUCUGCAGUUUCUUUCAGCGACAGUAAGGAAACCAUGCAGGAAAAAAAAAAGAAAUACAGAAGCCCGCCGCCGUUGCUCCGAGGUUACUAAGUGGCACUAAAAAUUUCGUCACAGCUUUAUAUUCGAGUUUCUUCCUCUGUAGUUUCUUCCAGCGACAGUUAAGAAAUCAAGAAAAAAAAUAAUACAGAAGCCCGCCGCCGCUGCUCCGAGGUUAUUAAGUGGCACUAAAAAUUUCGUCACAACUUUAUAUUCGAGUUUCAUUCUCUGUAGUUUCUUCCAGCGACAGCUAAGAAACCAUGCAGGAAAAAAAGGAAAUACAGAAGCCCUCCCCCGCUGCUCCGAGGUUAUUAAGUGGCACUAGAAAUUUCGUCACAACUUUAUUUUCGAGUUUCAUCCUCUGCAGUUUCUUCCAGCGACAGUUGAGAAACCAAGAAAAAAAAAGGAAAUACAGAUGCCCGCCGCCGCUGCUCCGAGGUUAUUACGGGGCACUUAAAAUUUCGUCCCCAACCACCGCCCUGGGCACACGGACAGCAUAACAAAUAGGAGCCUUUCUAGUGACUCCCAAGCCUAGGCCCGAAUAAGCUGUGGAGUAAUUACGGAGAAACGGUCAUGACGGGAAUACAUAACACAACCUAUAGAGUAUUUUUUUUUCUACAGCAGAGGAGUCAGUUCAAGGGCAUAAAAAAAAGAAACAAACGUGAAAAAAAGCCCGCUACUCCUUUCGUAUAGUAAUCUAAUCAAAUGGGUUCGGGAAGCUAAAAAGUUGCAGAGGGACAGAUCCGUUUUCUACCAGCGACAAGAACCCUCAUCAACUGUUCUGUCGAGUAUUAUGGGAAGCUAAUACAUAAAUAAAUUAAUAAAUAAACCUUCCUUUCAUAUAUUAAUCGUAUCAAAUAGGUUCGGAGGAUUUCGGAGUAGCGAGAAAGUUGCAUAGGAUCAGCCGUUUUCUUCCAGCGACAAGAACCCACAUCAUCAGCUGGUACGUCGAGUAUUAUGGGCAGAGUUCAAGGCCAGACCGAGAGACGCCCCCGACACGCCCAGCACCCAGAGCCAACCGGGCCGAUCGCUGGGUGACUGCCGAUGCCUUGAACUCAACUUUGCUGGACUAACCGCGCGACCCGUUCUGUCUGUAUCUAAGGAUUUAUAGUAGUAGUUGUUGUAGAAGUAGUAGUAAUUAAUGUUGUUAUUGUAUUUGUAGUUACCGCCGGAUUUAUUAAACGUCGUAUUAGUAAAUAUUGACAGUGAUGUGGUUAGUUUGGCGUUGUAAUUCGAUUUUUGAGACGGAGUUAAGUAGAAAUGUUGGGUUUUGUAGCCGUAGUAGUAGUAGUAGUAGUAGUGUAUGUGUGUGUGUGUGUGUGUGUGUGUGUGUGUGUGUGUGUGUGCAAGCCAGUCAUCAGUUUGAGUUAUGACAAGAUGACCUCUUAUGACCCCGAGGCAGUGUGACCUCCACCUCGCAGCCACUCAUGGGGUGAAAGCUGGCAACCAUAGCCACCAGCGUAACCAUGAGUCACCAUACCACGGCAUGGCACUGCAGCGUGUGUGUGUGUGUGUGUGUGUGUGUGUGUGUGUGUGUAAGGAUUUGGUUGGAUUACAUUGCAUUCGUUUGGAAAAGUAUAUAUAUCUAUCUAUCUAUCAAUAUUCAUCUGUAAAUGCAUACGUAUACAUAUUGAAGCCACACAUUAAAACAAUCCUACAAUCAGCCGCGGUGAGCCUUUUAUAAUCAUAAUAAUAAUAAUAAAAAUAAUAAACUCGGUUAAACGUAAAGUUGGGAGCAUACGAUAUUGCUGUGCGUGGCGGCGGUGCUCACCUCCGUACCGUUGACCCUAACCAAACUCAGCGAGCUCAAUAAAACAAAUCUCCAGCCAACCCAGAGUACGAAAACGUUGAUUACAUGGAAUUCGCAUCAAGCCACGUUCCAGGUUCGUCCAGGCUGGUGGAAGGGGGAGGUCGG